UGCCAGCAGCCGCGGUAAUACGGAGGGUGCGAACGUUAAUCGGAAUUACUGGGCGUAAAGCGCGCGUAGGCGGUUUAUUAAGUGGGAUGUGAAAGCCCUGGGCUCAACCUGGGAACUGCAUUCCAAACUGACAAACUAGAGUACGAGAGAGGGGGGUAGAAUUCAGAGUGUAGCGGUGAAAUGCGUAGAUAUUCUGAGGAAUACCAGUGGCGAAGGCGGCCCCCUGGCUUGAUACUGACGCUGAGGUGCGAAAGCGUGGGGAGCAAACAGGAUUAGAUA
RNAcentral lists this ribosomal RNA (279 nucleotides) under uncultured bacterium. RNAcentral's name for it is "partial 16S ribosomal RNA". It matches the Rfam family "Bacterial small subunit ribosomal RNA", at positions 506 to 784 of the family's 1533-position model. The record is from RNAcentral.